GACGAACGCUGGCGGCGUGCCUAAUACAUGCAAGUAGAACGCUGAAGGAGGAGCUUGCUUCUCUGGAUGAGUUGCGAACGGGUGAGUAACGCGUAGGUAACCUGCCUGGUAGCGGGGGAUAACUAUUGGAAACGAUAGCUAAUACCGCAUAAUAGUAGAUGUCGCAUGACAUUUGCUUAAAAGGUGCAAUUGCAUCACUACCAGAUGGACCUGCGUUGUAUUAGCUAGUUGGUGAGGUAACGGCUCACCAAGGCAACGAUACAUAGCCGACCUGAGAGGGUGAUCGGCCACACUGGGACUGAGACACGGCCCAGACUCCUACGGGAGGCAGCAGGAGGGAAUCUUCGGCAAUGGACGGAAGUCUGACCGAGCAACGCCGCGUGAGUGAAGAAGGGUGUCGGAUCGUAAAGCUCUGUUGUAAGAGAAGAACGAGUGUGAGAGUGGAAAGUUCACACUGUGACGGUAUCUUACCAGAAAGGGACGGCUAACUACGUG
Molecule: ribosomal RNA, 495 nt
Filed under: uncultured bacterium
Lineage: Bacteria
Description: partial 16S ribosomal RNA
Rfam family: Bacterial small subunit ribosomal RNA
Source: RNAcentral